Molecule: RNA transcript, 2403 nt
Organism: Haliotis rubra (blacklip abalone)
Lineage: Eukaryota; Metazoa; Mollusca; Gastropoda; Lepetellida; Haliotidae
Exons: 4
Source: RefSeq, a predicted model, not a curated record
GCAGAUAUGCAUAGUUCCGACUACCGACCCAAGCUCCGCCCACCUUGGUUACUGCUGCUACGUCCCCCAAGCUUUGGGAUGCCGAGCUGUCAAAAUGGCGGAUACACGGUCAGGCACCGUUUGCCUGUUGACAGGUCCCGACACAAUAUCUGUUGCAUUCUUGCCAGAUCAUCCUACUUUGACGCAGAAAUCGCAACAGACAGGCUUACACUAUUUCUUCACAGGGUUAUAUCCAUGAGAUACGAGCUUAUAACCGUGACAACACCUCUGACAUUGCUGCUAUGUGCUGGGGGUCAAUGUCGAAGAAUCGGAGCCCGCAUACCCUCCAUUCGAGGAUUGACACAAGCGCCGAGAAGAUCGUUCACAGCUAUUGUUCUUGUAAAGCUGGAUUUGGUGAAAGAUGUUCCCACAUCUUUGGCCUUGUGAAGACACUUCAGGGAUUGAAGCCUCACAAUUUCACGCACAUUCAUGAAAAACAGUUGCACCAGCCUCCAGCAACAGUGGUAGAUUCACAGGGGCAGCAAGAUCAUCCCAGUGCCUAUCAACCAAGUGGUUGUGGCUCAACCUCUUGCCCAGUCUAGAAAUAGGAAGCCAAUCAUUUGUCAAGUUCAAUGACACCAGACUUCCACAUAUUACCCCACUGCAGUAUGUGCUACAGACAGAUGCACCCCGGUGACUAAACACUCUGCUCGGAGACGUCUAGCUUGGGAUCAGUCUUGUCAUAUCAGAUGAAAUCACGUGCAGUAUCAACUACCUGCGCCCCCAUCAAGUUUCCGAAAAUGUCACCUGUACAACUCGCUGCUGGGUAUGAAGAUCUUAAUGCCCAGUAUCAACUUACAGAUCCUGGAAAAGAUCUAAGAUCUAAUCGUCUUACAGCUUCCAACUUCGGAAAGGUUAUGAACAGAAAGAAGAAACCUACACUAUCUUUCCUCAACAGUCUUUUUCCCAAGACUGCUUUGCAUUCAGUAUCUCUUUCCUAUGGCAUGAACAUUGAAGUACAGGCCAAGAAAACAUAUUUAGAACACAAAAUCUCAAACCAUCUACAUGAGAGUGGACUAGUAAUCAACAAUAAUUUCAGUUUCCUUGGAGCCACUCCUGAUGGCAAGAUAUAUUGUUGUGAAAAGGAGAACAGAAUUAUUGAAAUUAAAUGCCCGAACUCAGCUUGACACUUUACACUUGAAGAAGCAUGAGAAAAGAUAACAAAUCUAUUUUUGCAGAAGGAGGAAAUUGCCAUUCUCAAACUAUCCAACAGACAUGCUCACUAUGCCCAAAUUCAGGCACAAUUAAUGUUAACCGGGGCUGAGUUCUAUGAAUAUGUGGUUUACACCAAAAAAGAGAGCGUACAUUGAGCGUAUUUUCACAGACAUUGAAUACAUGACAUGUAUGCUAGAAAAGCAUUCUUUAAAGAACAUACCAUUUCUUGACAUGUAAAUUGUACAAUAAUUGAUGGUGUUAACCAUCAAGUGCUUUUGGAUAUUCGUUGUUCACUAUCCUAAUUCAGGAAAAACAAUGUCUCCAUCUUGUUAUGAAAGAUUCUGAAAUUAGCUAUAUAACUUCAAAAUGUUUUAAAUUGAUUAUAAUGGCCUCAUGGUUUUGAUUUGCUAAUACUAUCAGCUUCAACUGAAUAUGGAAUUAAGAUUUUGCCUUAAGUGCCAUAAUUGACUGCCCCCAACUGAGCUUUUCCAUGUUAUACUUACAUGAUUCAUCAGUCUGUGUACCUUGAUUCUCUUCAACAGACACUUCCUGGGGGAUAUUUCUCUGUUUGCUUGAAACAGUUGUCUGAAAUAACAUUUUUUUUAGAAAAAUAGUUAUUUGUAGUAAAUAUGUGGCAAUAUUGUAAUAUCAUAUUUUUUGUAAAUCUAAAUUAGGUAAAUUCAUGAGUAAGUAAUUUACCCUUAUAGCCGUUGUCACUUUACUUCUUUAUUUUCUUUAUAUUCAUAUAUUUUCUUUAUAUUCAUAUAUUUUCUAUAUAUUCAUCUCCAUGUAUAGAUCUCAUUUAUUUUGGACAGAUUAUUCAUCUUACACAAUGGUUUAAUCUUCUUGUUUUGUUAUUUUAGAUUUGUUAGUUUUAUUUACAGGUAUAUUUUGUUAUCACACUUGUUUCUGUAUAAUUUGUUACAGAUCAAUCGUUUUUACAUGCAUCAAAUUAUGUAAUAAUUUAUCAUAAUUGCACAACUUUGAGGUCAACCAUUUCAGGUGUACUUAUAUUUAAGUUUUGUGUUGUUAUUUUUAUGCUUUAUAUUUAUAUGUUGUUAUCGCUCUUGUUUUAUAAUAACAUGGUUAUACGUUUUGGGGAUGCAUGAAAUAAGUUGAUAAUUUUUCUUCAUUGUCCAAAUUUUGGGAUUAAAUAAAGUCAUCAUACACUGACAAGUGAGGACAAAAUAAAAAAUAGAUGAGGUACUA